AAAGUCGUAACAAGGUUUCCGUAGGUGAACCUGCGGAAGGAUCAUUAUUGAAAUAAACUUGAUAAGUUGCUGCUGGUUCUCUGGGAGCAAUGUGCACACUUGUCAUCUUUGUAUCUUCACCUGUGCACCUUUUGUAGACCUGACUAUCUCUCUGAAUGCUUUUUAUAGCACUCAGGAUUGAGAAUUGACUUCUUGUCUCUUCUUAUAUUUUCAGGUCUAUGUUUCCUCAUAUACCCUAAUGCAUGUUUAUAGAAUGUAAUUAAUGGGCCUUUGUGCCUAUAAAUCUUUACAACUUUCAGCAACGGAUCUCUUGGCUCUCGCAUCGAUGAAGAACGCAGCGAAAUGCGAUAAGUAAUGUGAAUUGCAGAAUUCAGUGAAUCAUCGAAUCUUUGAACGCACCUUGCGCUCCUUGGUAUUCCGAGGAGCAUGCCUGUUUGAGUGUCAUUAAUAAUAUCAACCUUUUUGGUUGGAUGUGGGUUUGCUGGCCUCUGGAGGUCAGCUCCCCUUAAAUGCAUUAGCGGACAACAUUUUGCCAACUGUUCAUUGGUGUGAUAAUUAUCUACGCUAUUGAUGGUGAAGCAAGGUUCAGCUUCUAAUAGUCCAUUGACUUGGACAAGCUUUCUUUUAUUAAUGUGACCUCAAAUCAGGUAGGACUACCCGCUGAACUUAAGCAUAUCAAUAAGCGGAGGAAAAGAAACUAACAAGGAUUCCCCUAGUAACUGCGAGUGAAGCGGGAAAAGCUCAAUUUAAAAUCUGACAGUCUUUGGCUGUCCGAGUUGUAAUCUAGAGAAGCAUUAUCCGC
This 802-nucleotide ribosomal RNA is filed under the name Calonarius sodagnitus. RNAcentral describes it as "eukaryotic LSU rRNA". The stretch from base 291 to 444 matches the Rfam family "5.8S ribosomal RNA". The record is from RNAcentral. Lineage: Eukaryota; Fungi; Basidiomycota; Agaricomycetes; Agaricales; Cortinariaceae.